AUGCGCCUGCUCGUCGGUGCAGGUAUCCUCUCUUUGCUCACGUUCUUGAACACUCGACCGUCGGUCACGGCAGCGCUGCCGCCGCCGGUGAGGGUAGGCCUGGUGGUGGAUCUGACGAGCGAUGUGGGGAGGAAGAGCCUCACCUGCUUGUGCAUGGCCCUUGACGACUUCUACCAGAAGCACCCGGACUACGCCACGCGGGUGGAGCUGCGCCUCAACGAUUCCCACGGAGACCUCGUCACGUCCGCACACGCUUCCGAGGAGCUCAUGGACAAGAAUGGCCAGCUGCAAGCCAUCAUCUCGCCUCAGACAUCACCAGAAGCCGCCGAGCUAAUCACCGGCACAGCGGAGCACAGCAACAUCCCAAUCCUUUCUUCCUCCGCCACGUCGCCGGCAUCGAGCUCAUCAUCGCGGUCGCGUUUCUUCGUAAGCACCGCACCCAACAUCAGCUCCCAGGCGGCUCCGAUCGCCUCCAUCUUCAAGGUGUUCGCGUGGAGUGCCGCCGUCCUUCUUCACGAGGACUCGCCCUACGGCGUCGGCAUCCUUUCGGCGCUGGUCCAUGCGUUCCAGGGGUCACCCGGCCUCACGGAUAGCGUAGCCGUGCCCGGCGACGCGACGGACAGCCGCCUCGACGCGGCGCUCCUCGCCCUCAAGACCAUGCCGACGAAGGUUUACGUCGUGCACAUGCCCCCCGCUUUGGCCGCGCGCCUCUUCCGCCGGGCCGGAGUCGCCGGCAUGAUGUCCGAGGGGUAUGUGUGGAUUGCCACCGCCGGCGUCGGCAACGUGGCAGACAGCCUCCCAAACCCCGGCGACAUCGAUUACAUGCAAGGGGUUGUGAGCCUGCGGCCUUACGUGCAGGCAACGGACCGGGUCAGGAGCUUCUGGAGACGGUUCAAGAUGAGGUUUCAGCAGGAGAACCCAGGUGUCGAGCAGGAUGAGCCGGUGACGCUGCUCUGGCUGUACGACACGGCAUGGGCUGCCGCCGCAGCAGCUGAGGCCUCCUUCCGAACGGCACAGCCAACGGCACUCAUCGAUGCUCUGCUCGUCACCAAGUUCGACGGACUGGCCGGAAGGUUCGGGCUGGUGGACGGGCAGAUUCAGGUGUCAGUGUACGAGAUCGUGAAUAUCAUCGGCAAUGGCGCAAGGACGGUCGGAUUCUGGACGCCGGAGUUGGGGAUCUCGACGAGCUUGCACCCCAAAGUCGAAAAUACUGCAUCUACGGACUCUGCAUCGAAGGAGCUGAAGGUGAUCCUCUGGCCAGGCGAGACGGCAGCUAUCCCGAUCGGGUGGAAUUUCGCGUCACGCAGGCCAGGGGGGCUUCGCGUCGCCGUCCCUGUCAAGGGAGGGUUGGGCCAAUUCGUGAAAAUUUCCAGUGAUCCGGCCAUCGCCGGGGACAGAGUGUCGGGCUACUGCAUAGACGUUUUCAAGGCGGUCAUGACAAGAUUGGGCUAUCCAGUCGACCACCUUUACGUGCUAGCUGACGGCAUCAAGAUAUACGAUGCACUUGUGAACAUGGUGCACGAUAAGAAGUUUGAUGUAGUGGUCGGAGACGUGACGAUCUCAUCGAGCAGGAUGAAGUUGGUUUCCUUCACGAUGCCGUUCACAGAAACGGGAUGGUCGAUGAUCAUGGCAGAAAAGGGCGGCAGUGGCAGCAUGUGGAUAUUUACGAGUCCCAUGACGUUGGAGCUCUGGCUCACCAUCCUUGCAUUCUUCUUCUUCACUGGCUUCGUUGUGUGGGCUAUCGAGCAUCGGAUUAACCCUAGGUUUGGUGGCACGCCGCAGAAGCAGUUGGGCGUCCUCUUUUACUUUGCCUUCUCAACCAUGGUCUUCUCGCACAAGGAGAAGCUUGAGAGCAAUCUGUCAAAGCUCGUGGUGAUCAUGUGGGUGUUUGUUGUGCUCAUCCUCACAACAAGCUACACCGCGAACCUAACGUCGGUCUUGACGAUCCAACAACUCCAGCCGGCGAUAAGUGAAUGGACUGACAGGGACUAUGUGGGGGUUCAAGAGAAUUCCUUCAUCGAGGACAUAUUGAGGGAGAUGGGUUUUGACGAGGCGAGGUUCAGGAGGUACUCCUCAAUAGAUGAAUACGCUGAUGCCCUCAAUAGGGGGUCUGACAAUGGAGGCGUCACGGCUAUCUUUGAUGAGGUUCCCUACCUCAGGCUCUUCCUGUCACGAUAUUGUCGUGGCUACUCCAUGGUUGGUCCGACCAACAAGAGCGGGGGCUUUGGAUUUAUGUUCCCCAAGGGGUCCCCACUGGUGGGGGACAUGUCGCGCGCCAUCCUGGAGCUGGCGGAAGAUGGCGUGCUUACGCGCAUCGAGAACAAGUGGUUUAGCCACCCAGGGUCGUGUGUGGGCAACAACGGUGGCUCUAACGCUAGGCUCGGCCUGUGGAGAUUUCGCGGCCUAUUCCUCAUCAACGGCGUCGUCUCGUGCCUCAUGCUCCUGAUCCACCUCGCCAGGUUCGUCUACCAGGAGCGCGCGCGUGGCCAGGUAAAGGCCAACACGGCGGGAGUGCUGCCAUGGUUGUGCGCGUGGCUUCGGCGCUAUUGCGCCUUUGAGGGGCAGCGUGGCGGAGAGCCAGUUAGCGAUGGUCGGGCAGCGGUGGAACUGAAUCACAUGCAGGAUUCGGCCGCCGAAGAAGCAGCCCAACAGGAAGGAGCCAUGGGAGACUCUUACUCUACUCAUGUGGAUGCCACGGAUUUCUGA
Molecule: ribosomal RNA, 2706 nt
Filed under: Triticum aestivum (bread wheat)
Lineage: Eukaryota; Viridiplantae; Streptophyta; Magnoliopsida; Poales; Poaceae
Description: partial small subunit ribosomal RNA
Source: RNAcentral